GUAGGAGAGGUGGGCAGCCCCCAGACCCUGCAGGCUCCAUUUUAUUCUGAGUGCUGAAUUUAAGCAGAGGAGAGACCUGCAGGGCUUUCUGGAUGUCGUGUGAGGAACGGAUUAGAGCAGAAGAUCAACAAUGUGGUCUGGAAGGCUGAUGGCUAAGAAUGGCUUUUACAUUUUUAAAUGGUUGACAAAAAAGCAAAAGAAGAAGAUAUUUUGAGAUACGUGAAAGUUACAGGAAAUUCACAUUUCAAUGUCUAUAAAUAAAGUUUUAUGGGAACACAGCCAUGCUCAUUUGUUUACAAAUUGUCUGUGGCUGCUUUCCCACAGCGACGGCAGGGUUGAUUAGUUGCAAUGGAGACUGUAUGGCCCGCAAAGCUUAAAAUAUUUACUCUCAGGCCCUUUACUCAAAAUGUGACAUUUGGGGAGUUAGGGAAGAGCAUAUUGAAAUUCUUUGUAAUCUGCUUGCAACUCUUGCUCUCACAGGCUCUCCGCUCUGCACCUUGUCACCUGAGCCUUGAAACAACCCUCUCCAGUAGGACAUUCUUCCCAGUUUACAAAGGAGGAGACAGACUUAGAGAGGCACUAAGAUUUACUCAAGGACACAGCCAGGAAGUGGGAAUGUGAGGGCUCCCUGCCCCCAGCCCCCAGCCCCCAUGAGUGAUGUUCCUGCCUGGUAAUGCUGGGCCCGCAUGGCAGAGACUGGGUGCGUUACCACAGACUGGGAGUUAAAACAACAGAAAUUUCUUCUCUUCCACUUCCAGAGGCCAAAAAUCCAAAAUCAAAGUGUUGGCAAGGCCACACUCCCUCCCCAGGCUGUGGGGGAGAAUCUUUUCAGCCCUUCUCCUACCUUCUGGUGGCUCCUGGCAAUCUGGGAAUCUUUGGCAUCCCUUGGCUUCUAGCAGUAAUGCUCCAGUCUCUGCCUCUGUCUUCACAUCAUCUUCUCUAUGUGUCUGUCUCUCUGUAUCUAUGUCUUAUCUCCUUCUGCUUUUUUUUUUUUUUUUUUUUUGCUGAGGAAGAUUCACCCUGAGCUAACAUCUGUUGCCAAUCUUCUUCUUUUUGUAUCUGUGCCACCACAACAGCGUGGCCACUCACAGACAAGUGGUAUAGGUUCGUGCCCGGCAACUGAACCCAGGCCACCAAAACAGAAUGUGCUUAACCACUAGGAACUUAACCACUAGGCCACUGGGGCUGGCCCUGCCUCACUCUUAUAAGGACACUUGCCACUGGAUUUAGGACCUACUUGGAUAAUCCAGGAUGAUCUCAUCUUAAAAUCCUUAACUAGGGGCUGGCCCUGUGGCCCAGUGGUUAAGUUCAUAUGCUCCACUUUGGUGGCCCAGGGUUUCCCUGGUUCGGAUCUUGGGUGCAGACAUGGCACUGCUCAUCAAGCCAUGCUGAGACAGCAUCCCACAUAGCACAACCAGAAGGACUUACAGC
RNAcentral lists this long non-coding RNA (1431 nucleotides) under Equus caballus (horse). Its description in RNAcentral is "lncRNA (ENSECAG00000045916.1)". Lineage: Eukaryota; Metazoa; Chordata; Mammalia; Perissodactyla; Equidae. The record is from RNAcentral.